This is a long non-coding RNA of Lates calcarifer (barramundi perch), 725 nucleotides long. RefSeq lists it as uncharacterized. The record is from RefSeq and is a predicted model, not a curated record. The transcript has 3 exons. Lineage: Eukaryota; Metazoa; Chordata; Actinopteri; Centropomidae.
GCAUAAUGUCAGGAACUGAAGCCACACAGCUACACCGACUUCAGCCAUAAUUAACCCAUAAUUAUAAUUUACAACAUGUGCUUUUGUUACUGUGACAUUUAAAAAAAUCCAUCUAAAGACCAAUGGACCCCAAGGAACACAAGCUGUGCGGAUUUAGAGAAACGCUAAUAAUGUCUUGCUUAAAAGGUUUAAAAGAUGGCGCCGUUGUCAACCCUAAAAUAAGGUGCUUAUUGAGGGAAUGGACCAGUUCUUUGGAUUUCCUUUGGACAAACUAAAGUGAGUCACCCUGUGAAGGUCAGCAAAUGGCGACCCUGUUUACUGAGCUUUCGUGCCCACCAAGAGGUCUUGAUCCUGGCUUCCACUCCAGCUCUCGUGGUUCAGUGAUCUGCACAGCAGGACCAGAGGGCAGCUGCAUCAAGACUUGCAUCAGGCCAGCCAUGUUAAAAGGUGAUGCUGACGUGCGUGGCCAAUCGGAUCAAGCGGAUGCACUGAUUUUGACUUGAGGGAAGAGCUACAGUUACUCAUGCGGAUGGACUGAUGCCAUAGCGAGAGAGCCGACUGGUGGAGGUAGGAUAUGAGUCUCUCUGUCAGCAGCAGAGGAGAGGGGGAGUCAGGUCUAAUGAGGAGAGACAUUUUUGCCUUUCCCUCUCUUCCCCUCAGUCACAUAUCAGAGGAUUGAAAGCCGUGAUGAAUCCACACCUUACAUACCUCCAGCACACACACUA